GACGAACGCUGGCGGCGUGCCUAAUACAUGCAAGUAGAACGCUGAAGGAGGAGCUUGCUUCUCUGGAUGAGUUGCGAACGGGUGAGUAACGCGUAGGUAACCUGCCUGGUAGCGGGGGAUAACUAUUGGAAACGAUAGCUAAUACCGCAUAAGAGUAGAUGUCGCAUGACAUUUGCUUAAAAGGUGCACUUGCAUCACUACCAGAUGGCCCUGCGUUGUAUUAGCUAGUUGGUGAGGUAACGGCUCACCAAGGCAACGAUACAUAGCCGACCUGAGAGGGUGAGCGGCCAAGCUGGGAUGGAGACACGGCCCAGACCACUGCGGGAGGGAGCAGGAGGGGAUCUUUGGCAAAGGACGGAAGGCUGACCGAGCAACGCCGCGCGAGAGAAGAAGGUUGUCGGAUCGUAAAGCUCAGUUGGAAGAGAAGAACGAGAGUGAGAGUGGAAAGUUCACAUUGUGACGGUAUCUUACCAGAAAGGGACGGCUAACUACGUG
This 495-nucleotide ribosomal RNA is filed under the name uncultured bacterium. Its description in RNAcentral is "partial 16S ribosomal RNA". It matches the Rfam family "Bacterial small subunit ribosomal RNA", at positions 28 to 507 of the family's 1533-position model. The record is from RNAcentral.